This 418-nucleotide long non-coding RNA is filed under the name Homo sapiens (human). RNAcentral describes it as "TUBA1B antisense RNA 1". Lineage: Eukaryota; Metazoa; Chordata; Mammalia; Primates; Hominidae. The record is from RNAcentral.
UUUUCCGCCCUCCAAACGGACGGCUCUGAGGCCAGCCCUUCCCGGCUGUAUACAGGGCCCCAGCGCCCCGCCGGCUCGCUUUUCCCUGCUUCCCUGAAAGCAGCCGGGAGCCGCACGGCUUACUCACCAUAGUGGCUAGGGAUUAGGAGGCGAAGGCGACAGGAGCAGACACCGGGUCCCGGUUACCGUCCCCGACAAGCUAAGAGUCGAGAACAUGGACAAGAUGGCUGGGGUCCUGUGGAGUUCUAGUAAUCUUCUUACGAUAAUAAAGCAACCUUAUGCCAUAUGAUAUGCUAAGGAUGGAGGAAGAUAGAGUCUAGGUGCCUGAUGACAACAUGGAGCUGUCAAGCCCUGCAUUGCCUCCCCCUGGACGUCUCAUUAUGGGAGAAAAUGAAGCAAUUUGUUUAAGCCACACUGA